GGGGGACCUGCGGAAGGAUCAUUACCGAGUGCGGGAACCCAGUCGGGUCCCAAUCUCCCACCCGUGUCUACCACACCUAGUGUUGCUUUGGCGGGCCCACUCCUCCGGUGUUCCGCCGGGGGGGUCGUCCCGGGGCGCGGUGUGCCCCCGGGGCCCGUGCCCGCCAGAGGCACUCACUGUGAACGCUUUUGUGAAUGCGAGGAUUGUCUGAGUGACGAAAUGCAAUCGUUCAAAACUUUCAACAAUGGAUCUCUUGGUUCCGGCAUCGAUGAAGAACGCAGCGAAAUGCGAUAAGUAAUGUGAAUUGCAGAAUUCCGUGAAUCAUCGAAUCUUUGAACGCACAUUGCGCCCUCUGGUAUUCCGGGGGGCAUGCCUGUCCGAGCGUCAUUGCGAACCCUCAAGCACGGCUUGUGUGUUGGGCCGCCGUCCCCUCGUUUGGAGGGGACGGGCCUGAAAGGCAGCGGCGGCGUCGCGUCCGGUCCUCGAGCGUAUGGGGCUCUGUCACGCGCUCAAGGAGGGGUCCGGCCGGGGCCAUAGCCUCUGAAGGUCAAUUCUUCCAAGGUUGACCUCGGAUCAGGUAGGAGUACCCGCUGAACUUAAGCAUAUCAAAAAGGCCGGAGGAAAGAU
Molecule: ribosomal RNA, 627 nt
Filed under: Thermomyces lanuginosus
Lineage: Eukaryota; Fungi; Ascomycota; Eurotiomycetes; Eurotiales; Trichocomaceae
Description: eukaryotic LSU rRNA
Rfam family: 5.8S ribosomal RNA (bases 234-387)
Source: RNAcentral